Molecule: long non-coding RNA, 2212 nt
Organism: Chinchilla lanigera (long-tailed chinchilla)
Lineage: Eukaryota; Metazoa; Chordata; Mammalia; Rodentia; Chinchillidae
Exons: 4
Source: RefSeq, a predicted model, not a curated record
GAUACAGAAAAGCCUGUAGCUAUAGACAGGAUUAACAAAUGUUAUAUAUUGAGACUUUUUUCAAAUUUUUUUUCUGGUACCGGGAAUCAAACUUGUGACCUUGCGCUUGCCAGGCAGGCGCUGCGCCACUGAGCUAAAUCCCCAGCCCUCUCAAAUUUUGAAGAUUCUGUCCCAGGCAAACUAUAAGAAAUAUGUUCAUGGAUUUGAGAAAUCCUGACACUUUCAUUUAACAUGGAAUUAUAGGAUGCCUAUUAUAUGACAAGGCAUUCUAGAAUACAAUGACAUACAGACAUGAUUUCUACUAAGACCUUACAUUCUAGGAGAGAAAAAACACAUUCAGCAACCAUAAUAUGAUGUAAUACAUGACAAGUACAGAAUGCAACAAGAUAUUCCCAAUGAAUCUGAGCUCUGGAUGUGCAACAAUUUUAAUUUUGUUCUUCACAGAAUGGAAGUGAUGGGUGUCUUACAAUGCAGCCCAGGAUGGCCUUGAAUGCACAAUCUUCCUGCCUCAGUCUCAGGAUUAAAGGCCUCUGCCACCCUGCCCAGCUCAGAUAAGGAUUUCUUGGAGGAUUUCCUACUGUCUUCAUCUAGAAGACUGGAAGCACAGCAGAACUCACAAAGCACUGGGAAAUUCAAGUGAUACUUAAGGAUACAGUAAAGCAGGUUCUUGGAGGGACUGACAGAUCAACCAGCCUUAGAAGAGAUAAGAGAAACAAACCGGCCUGCAAGGAAUGGUUCUUCACAAUACACAGUUCCAGUACUCUCUUAUUUUCUCCAAUCAUUGCACAGCAUUCUCCAGCCACCUUGCCUUCCAAGAUAGUAACACCUUAUAUAGCAACUAGGUGUAGUAACUAACUGAAAACUGGGACUAUGUAACCCCACGGAAAACUUAAAAGUUAACUACACACUAUAUAACCUCCCAACAAAAAAGCAAGACUACUGAGAUGUCAAGUAUGUCCUACAAAAAGGUCAAGAAAGCAAAAAACGUGCUGUCAGUGUAAGCGAUGCAUGUGUAUGGAACGUGCUCUUAUCAUGUAUGUAGAUUGCCUUAGAUAUGAUAAUUAAGAUAAAGAUUUUUUUCUAGAGCUUCAUUGUAGUUCAUAUGGGAAUUUAUUUCUGGUGUUCUUUUUAGACUUUGUACACCAAAAACCAGUAGAUGUAGAAAAAUUUGAUGCUUUUCUAUAAACUCAAUAAAUAUUAAAAACUCAGUAUUUUUGUGAUUUUUUCCUGUGAAGUACUCAUUACUUAACAUAAUAAAACUCAUAAAUUAAAAUUAAUACAUCAAUAAAGAUAUUCUAAGGAAUAUUUAGACAGACUCACAUUUAUGCGCCUUGAUGACAAAAUGAGUCUCACGUUCUGAGGGUGAUGAUGAUAACAGAUGUUAACUGCAAGGCUUUAUGUCUUUUUAGAAUGUCCCCGCUCACCAGGCCUGGCCUCUCUGAACACUGAACCAACUCUGGUGUGACUUACACAACUGCCUUCAGAAUCAUCUACACACCCAUUCAUAGAGGGUUUGGGACAUACAGUGUUUUUUAAGACACUAUUUAAAUGGUAUUUGCAUAAGCCACUAUAAUAUGGGUUUUCAAUGUUUCUGACAAGAGUAGUUGUUGGAUCAUCACUAUUGGGACAAAGUAAAAUAAGCAAAACUUCCAGGCACACUGUGAAAACAAUACAGAGAAAUGAGACUUUUUGAGACUAGUUUAAACCUUGAAUUUGGGCUAUCAAGCUUAAACAAACGUGAAUAGCUAUCCUUCAAAGGAAAGCAGUGAUAGAGUUUUAGUGUACUACAGAGGCUCACAGAAGAGAAGGAACCACACAUUUUCCAUCAGUCCACAAUGGCACCAGUCAAGAGUCAUAAGAGCAUGAAGACCAAACCAACUUCACAAACAGAUCCUGUAAGUUUGGGCUUAUUUUUCAACAACUAGAAAACUUCAAGUCUACUCUUUUCCAAGAAAAGCUUAGGGUGAGUGUAUUUUUCUAUAUCUGUGCCAGGGGAAGGCAGCCCUCUGCUGACGAUCACAAGAGCUGAGAACUCUUCUCUCCUAACCUAUCAAAGAUCACACCCACCAAUUCCACUACUACCUGGCUUCCAAUAUCACCAAGACUAGUGAAGUAUGCUGAGUAAGAGAUCAUCAGCAGGUUAAGACCAAUGUGGGGCCAGAAGCCUAAGUCAAACCCAGGGAUCUGCACCUACAAAUACUUUAAGAUGGAU